AAGAAAAAUAUUUUAUUUGUUUUUGUAUUUAUUAAUAAUUUAAUUUUAUUUAGUGAUAAAUUAUUUGUACUGUGAAGGUUGAUUGAAAUAGAAAUAAUUUAUUAUUUAAGUUAAUUUUACUUAUUGUACCUUGUGUAUCAGGAUUAAUUAAAUGUUUAUUAUAAAUUUUAAUGUUCUCGAUUUUAUAAGAGUUAAUUUAUUAGUUUAGUUAUUAUUUUAUAAAUAUUAAUAAUAGUAAGUUGGUAAUGAUAUGUUAAUCGUUUAUAAGGGUAUCUAGUUUUUUAGGAAAUAAAUUUAAUUUACAUUUUUUCUUUAAUUUUUUUCUUUUUAAUAUAAUUUAAGUUUAAAUGAAUAAUAAGGGGGAUAAGCUCCUUAUUAAAUUCCUAUAAAAUAUAAUUUUUGAUUAAAUUGUGUUGAUUUAAUAGUGAUCAUCAUUAUGAGUAUGUUAAAAUAUUAUUUAUUUAUUGUUUAAUUUUGGUGUUUUUAGGUUUAUACUAAGAAAUUUUAGUAAAUUUUUUUUUAAUUUUAAUUAUGAUUAAAUUAGUAUAUUAAUAUAUUUGUAUAAUUUUUUUAUUAGUAAGUAAAUUUGAGGAAUUAGGCAAAGGAGAUUAUUCGCCUGUUUAACAAAAACAUCUUUUCUUGUAUUUGAAUAUGAAGUAUAACCUGCUCAAUGAAUUCUAAAUAGCCGCGGUAUAUUGACCGUGCAAAGGUAGCAUAAUCAUUAGUCUUUUAAUUGUAGGCUGGAAUGAAUGGUUGGACGAAAUAAUAACUAUCUUAGAUUUAUUAAUUUGAAUUUAAUUAUUGUGUUAAAAAGCACAAAUUUUUUUUUGGGACGAGAAGACCCUAUAGAGUUUAAUAAUUAAUAUAUUUUUUUAGCAUUUGAUGUUUUAUUAAUUAUAUAAUAUUAUUUUGUUGGGGUGAUAUAAAGAUAUAAUGAACUCUUUUUAUUUAUUGUUUAUAAUUUAAUAUUUAUUUGAUCCAUUUUUAAUGAUUAAAAGAUUAAAUUACCUUAGGGAUAACAGCGUAAUCUUAUUUGAGAGUUCUUAUUGACAAUAAGGGUUGCGACCUCGAUGUUGGAUUAAGAAUAUUCUUAGGUGCAAAAGCUUAAGAUUUAGGUCUGUUCGACCUUUAAAUUCUUACAUGAUCUGAGUUCAAACCGGUGUGAGCCAGGUUGGUUUCUAUCUAUUAAUAAAUUUAUUAUUUUAGUACGAAAGGACCAAAUAAUAAAAAUAAUUUUUAUUAUUUGAAUAAUAUUAAUAUUUA
This 1263-nucleotide ribosomal RNA is filed under the name Geoscapheus dilatatus. RNAcentral describes it as "16S ribosomal RNA". The stretch from base 1015 to 1173 matches the Rfam family "Archaeal large subunit ribosomal RNA", at positions 2542 to 2701 of the family's 2987-position model. The record is from RNAcentral. Lineage: Eukaryota; Metazoa; Arthropoda; Insecta; Blattodea; Blaberidae.